AGAGUUUGAUCCUGGCUCAGGAUGAACGCUGGCGGCGUGCUUAACACAUGCAAGUCGAACGAAGCACUUUAAUUGAUUUCUUCGGAAUGAAGUUUUUGUGACUGAGUGGCGGACGGGUGAGUAACGCGUGGGUAACCUGCCUCAUACAGGGGGAUAACAGUUGGAAACGACUGCUAAUACCGCAUAAGCGCACAGGAUUGCAUGAUCCAGUGUGAAAAACUCCGGUGGUAUGAGAUGGACCCGCGUCUGAUUAGCCAGUUGGCGGGGUAACGGCCCACCAAAGCGACGAUCAGUAGCCGACCUGAGAGGGUGACCGGCCACAUUGGGACUGAGACACGGCCCAAACUCCUACGGGAGGCAGCAGUGGGGAAUAUUGCACAAUGGGGGAAACCCUGAUGCAGCGACGCCGCGUGAGCGAAGAAGUAUUUCGGUAUGUAAAGCUCUAUCAGCAGGGAAGAAGAAUGACGGUACCUGACUAAGAAGCACCGGCUAAAUACGUGCCAGCAGCCGCGGUAAUACGUAUGGUGCAAGCGUUAUCCGGAUUUACUGGGUGUAAAGGGAGCGCAGGCGGUACGGCAAGUCUGAUGUGAAAUCCCGGGGCUCAACCCCGGUACUGCAUUGGAAACUGUCGGACUAGAGUGUCGGAGGGGUAAGUGGAAUUCCUAGUGUAGCGGUGAAAUGCGUAGAUAUUAGGAGGAACACCAGUGGCGAAGGCGGCUUACUGGACGAUUACUGACGCUGAGGCUCGAAAGCGUGGGGAGCAAACAGGAUUAGAUACCCUGGUAGUCCACGCCGUAAACGAAUGAUACUAGGUGGCGGGGAGCAUUGCUCUUCGGUGCCG
RNAcentral lists this ribosomal RNA (841 nucleotides) under uncultured bacterium. RNAcentral describes it as "bacterial SSU rRNA". It matches the Rfam family "Bacterial small subunit ribosomal RNA", at positions 8 to 848 of the family's 1533-position model. The record is from RNAcentral.